AACGCGAAGAACCUUACCUGGUCUUGACAUCCACAGAACUUUCCAGAGAUGGAUAGGUGCCUUCGGGAACUGUGAGACAGGUGCUGCAUGGCUGUCGUCAGCUCGUGUUGUGAAAUGUUGGGUUAAGUCCCGCAACGAGCGCAACCCUUAUCCUUUGUUGCCAGCGGUCCGGCCGGGAACUCAAAGGAGACUGCCAGUGAUAAACUGGAGGAAGGUGGGGAUGACGUCAAGUCAUCAUGGCCCUUACGACCAGGGCUACACACGUGCUACAAUGGCGCAUACAAAGAGAAGCGACCUCGCGAGAGCAAGCGGACCUCAUAAAGUGCGUCGUAGUCCGGAUUGGAGUCUGCAACUCGACUCCAUGAAGUCGGAAUCGCUAGUAAUCGUGAAUCAGAAUGUCACGGUGAAUACGUUCCCGGGCCUUGUACACACCGCCCGU
Molecule: ribosomal RNA, 439 nt
Filed under: uncultured Klebsiella sp.
Lineage: Bacteria; Pseudomonadati; Pseudomonadota; Gammaproteobacteria; Enterobacterales; Enterobacteriaceae
Description: bacterial SSU rRNA
Rfam family: Bacterial small subunit ribosomal RNA
Source: RNAcentral